UUUUCUAUGCUCUACAUGUGAGUAUGUUUGUGUGUGAGGUGUGAGGUGUGAGGUGUGAGGUGUGAGGUGUGAG
This 73-nucleotide non-coding RNA is filed under the name Palpitomonas bilix. The record is from RNAcentral.